UGCGAUCCUUUCCAUGCUGAGGAUGCCACGGUGCCUCAGAUCAUAUCUACUCGAACUGAACAAUGAUGUUUUGGGAAACCAAAUUUGGAAGAACGUGCCGAAGCUGCAGCAGUGUCCCAGGUUUGUUUUACACAGAUUGGGUGGGAGGAAGAGAUGUUUCCAGGUACUAGCUGAAGUCAACCAGCCAAUAGCUGACAACCAAUGGGUUGGAUUCCAGCAGAAUGGUUCAUCGUGACAGUCGAUGACUACAGGGUUUUCAGCGAUGGGUUUGAAGCCAGUAUGGAUGUUGUCUCCAGCCCAUGAAGCUACAUAAGGUUGACGUGAUGCCAGAAUUAUGUGCCAACGAUGGGCAUAUUCCUCUGAAUGCACAGACCUGUCACUCUGAUGGAGGUUUAUGCCAUGGCAGAAGAGUUGUGGUGACCGGUUUGGAGCACAACGCUGAGCUGUCAAGCUGUGUAGUACACUUGUUUGUGCCACUGUAUAUCAUUCUCAGAACAGUUUGAUUAAGUAACUGCUUGUUUUUGACUAAUAAAAUCACUUACAGCUCA
Cyprinus carpio carpio is the source of this 548-nucleotide long non-coding RNA. Lineage: Eukaryota; Metazoa; Chordata; Actinopteri; Cypriniformes; Cyprinidae. The record is from Ensembl.